This 420-nucleotide ribosomal RNA is filed under the name uncultured Chroococcidiopsis sp. RNAcentral's name for it is "bacterial SSU rRNA". It matches the Rfam family "Bacterial small subunit ribosomal RNA", at positions 356 to 790 of the family's 1533-position model. Lineage: Bacteria; Bacillati; Cyanobacteriota; Cyanophyceae; Chroococcidiopsidales; Chroococcidiopsidaceae. The record is from RNAcentral.
GGGGAAUCUUCCGCAAUGGGCGAAAGCCUGACGGAGCAAUACCGCGUGAGGGAGGAAGGCUCUUGGGUCGUAAACCUCUUUUCUCAGGGAAGAAGAAAGUGACGGUACCUGAGGAAUCAGCAUCGGCUAACUCCGUGCCAGCAGCCGCGGUAAUACGGAGGAUGCAAGCGUUAUCCGGAAUGAUUGGGCGUAAAGCGUCCGCAGGUGGCAGUUCAAGUCUGCUGUUAAAGAUCGGGGCUCAACCCCGAAGUGGCGGUGGAAACUGAACAGCUAGAGUGCGGUGGGGGCAGAGGGAAUUCCUGGUGUAGCGGUGAAAUGCGUAGAGAUCAGGAAGAACACCGGUGGCGAAAGCGCUCUGCUAGGCCGCAACUGACACUCAGGGACGAAAGCUAGGGGAGCGAAUGGGAUUAGAUACCCCAG